CCAAUAGCUCAGUAGGUAGAGCAACGCCCUUUUAAGGCGUGGGUCGUUGGUUCGAACCCAACUUGG
This 66-nucleotide transfer RNA is filed under the name bovine gut metagenome. It matches the Rfam family "tRNA". Rfam says of the family: Transfer RNA (tRNA) molecules are approximately 80 nucleotides in length. The record is from RNAcentral.